This 98-nucleotide non-coding RNA is filed under the name Megasphaera genomosp. C1. RNAcentral's name for it is "Megasphaera genomosp. TPP sequence". It matches the Rfam family "TPP riboswitch aptamer (THI element)". From Rfam's summary of the family: Vitamin B(1) in its active form thiamin pyrophosphate (TPP) is an essential coenzyme that is synthesised by coupling of pyrimidine and thiazole moieties in bacteria. The previously detected thiamin-regulatory element, thi box was extended, resulting in a new, highly conserved RNA secondary structure, the THI element, which is widely distributed in eubacteria and also occurs in some archaea. Analysis of operon structures identified a large number of new candidate thiamin-regulated genes, mostly transporters, in various prokaryotic organisms. The record is from RNAcentral. Lineage: Bacteria; Bacillati; Bacillota; Negativicutes; Veillonellales; Veillonellaceae.
UUGAAAAGCUAGGGGAGCCUUCGGGCUGAGAAAAUAUUGAUUUGACCCUUGUACCUGAUGCGGGUAAUGCCGUCGUAGGAAAGCUUCACGAAUCCGUU